RNAcentral lists this non-coding RNA (262 nucleotides) under Lentilactobacillus parafarraginis. Its description in RNAcentral is "Lactobacillus parafarraginis T-box sequence". It matches the Rfam family "T-box leader". Rfam says of the family: Uncharged tRNA acts as the effector for transcription antitermination of genes in the T-box leader family. The record is from RNAcentral. Lineage: Bacteria; Bacillati; Bacillota; Bacilli; Lactobacillales; Lactobacillaceae.
AAUAAAGUUUUGAUUAGAAGAAGUAGCCGGUUUUAAAUGUAAAGAGAGCUCCGCGGCUGAGAAGGAGUCGUUUGGAUCGGUGAACACACAUCUAUGAACUAACCGAUUGAACCAAGUAGAUCGAUUCGCAAGUUUAGCGUUAUCAGGGUUACCACAGCUGUUAUUGGCCAAGUGUCGAUGACUAGCUGCUGGCAACGUAAGGCACACUAUCGUGAGGUAGUGGCAAAUUGGGGUGGAACCGCGAUUAAAAUUCGUCCUCGAA